GACGAACGCUGGCGGCGUGCUUAACACAUGCAAGUCGAACGGAAAGGCCCUGCUUGCAGGGUCCUCGAGUGGCGAACGGGUGAGUAACACGUGGGUGAUCUGCCCUGCACUUCGGGAUAAGCCUGGGAAACUGGGUCUAAUACCGGAUAGGAGCCAUUUUUAGUGGGAUGGGUGGAAAGUUUUUUCGGUGUAGGAUGAGCUCGCGGCCUAUCAGCUUGUUGGUGGGGUAAUGGCCUACCAAGGCGGCGACGGGUAGCCGGCCUGAGAGGGUGGACGGCCACAUUGGGACUGAGAUACGGCCCAGACUCCUACGGGAGGCAGCAGUGGGGAAUAUUGCACAAUGGGCGCAAGCCUGAUGCAGCGACGCCGCGUGGGGGAUGACGGCCUUCGGGUUGUAAACUCCUUUCGCUAGGGACGAAGCUUUUUGUGACGGUACCUAGAUAAGAAGCACCGGCUAACUACGUGC
RNAcentral lists this ribosomal RNA (466 nucleotides) under uncultured bacterium. RNAcentral's name for it is "partial 16S ribosomal RNA". It matches the Rfam family "Bacterial small subunit ribosomal RNA", at positions 28 to 508 of the family's 1533-position model. The record is from RNAcentral.